GCAGUAGCCGCGGUAAUACGGAGGGGGCUAGCGUUGUUCGGAAUUACUGGGCGUAAAGCGCACGUAGGCGGCUUGGUAAGUUAGAGGUGAAAGCCCGGAGCUCAACUCCGGAAUUGCCUUUAAGACUGCCGAGCUAGUAGGUGAGAGAGGUAAGUGGAAUUCCGAGUGUAGAGGUGAAAUUCGUAGAUAUUCGGAAGAACACCAGUGGCGAAGGCGGCUUACUGGCUCAUUCUAGACGCUGAGGUGCGAAAGCGUGGGGAGCAAACAGGAUUAGAUACCCCUGUAGUCCCUGUCUCUUAUAC
This 302-nucleotide ribosomal RNA is filed under the name uncultured bacterium. RNAcentral describes it as "partial 16S ribosomal RNA". It matches the Rfam family "Bacterial small subunit ribosomal RNA", at positions 508 to 807 of the family's 1533-position model. The record is from RNAcentral.